This 385-nucleotide ribosomal RNA is filed under the name Meloidogyne enterolobii. RNAcentral's name for it is "partial 16S ribosomal RNA". The record is from RNAcentral. Lineage: Eukaryota; Metazoa; Nematoda; Chromadorea; Rhabditida; Meloidogynidae.
AUUAUUUUAAGAUUAUUUUUUAUUGUUGAAAAAAUUAAAAAUAAAUUGUUUUUAACAAAAAUUAAAAUUUAUAAUAUUUCAUUUUUUGGUUUUUUGUUUUAAAUUAAAAUAAUAAAUAUGGGGGAAAAAAAAAUUUUGUUAUAAAUUAUAUUAGUUUAUUUUAAUUAAAAAUAUUUUUUAUUAAAUUUGUUUUUUUUAUUUUUUUAUAAAAAAUAUUAAUUUAAUUAUUAUUAUUGAGUUUAAUUUAGUUAUUUUUAAAAAAAUUUUGUAUAAAAUAAAUUUGAUAAUAAAUGUUUUUUAAAUUCUUUGGGGGUUUAGUUUAUGAUUUUUUGUUUCUGCUCAUUGUUAAAUAAAAGCACUUUUAGCGUGAUGGCCAAAAGGUAAA